UAUGCAGCUCAUUAGAAACUGUUUUUAAUCUAUGGCGGUAAAUUUGGAAUGUGAUGGAUCUGGAAGAACAAUGCAGUCAUCUGAACUUGUCUUUCAAGUAGGCGAAGGGUCUCAGUGAAAUGCUUUGAUAAGGUGUCUAUGAGUAAAACUUUGUUCGUUUGCUGGGAAUUAGAGUUCUGAAUCUCUGCCUACCGCAGUUGAAGUGUUUUGGAAUCCGAGAGUGCCGAUGCCGAUUCACAUAGCCCAAUCGUGAUAAGGAUGCCUUGAAACAUGCUGAUAUAUCCUGCUAGUGAGAGGCUCACCUUGUUACCUAAACA
This 317-nucleotide long non-coding RNA is filed under the name Oryza brachyantha (malo sina). RNAcentral describes it as "long non-coding RNA (OBRA_LNC002434)". Lineage: Eukaryota; Viridiplantae; Streptophyta; Magnoliopsida; Poales; Poaceae. The record is from RNAcentral.